GCCCAAGAGAUCGGGAUAACACCUGGAAACAGAUGCUAAUACCGGAUAACAACAGAUGAUGCCUAUCAACUGUUUUAAAAAGAUGGUUCUGCUAUCACUCUUGGAUGGACCUGCGGUGCAUUAGCUAGUUGGUAGGGUAACGGCCUACCAAGGCGAUGAUGCAUAGCCCGAGUUGAGAGACUGAUCGGGCCACAUUGGGGACUGAGACACGGGGCCCAAACUCCUACGGGGGGAGGGGCAGCAGUAGGGGGAAUCUUCCACAAUGGACGCAAGUCUGAUGGAGCAACGCCGCGUGAGUGAAGAAGGGUUUCGGCUCGUAAAGCUCUGUUGUUGGUGAAGAAGGACAGGGUAGUAACUGACCUUUGUUUGACGGUAAUCAAUUAGAAAGUCACGGCUAAACUACGUGCCAGCAGCCCGCGGUAAU
Molecule: ribosomal RNA, 424 nt
Filed under: uncultured Lactobacillus sp.
Lineage: Bacteria; Bacillati; Bacillota; Bacilli; Lactobacillales; Lactobacillaceae
Description: bacterial SSU rRNA
Rfam family: Bacterial small subunit ribosomal RNA
Source: RNAcentral